CCGAAUUCAGACAAACUCCGAAUGCCAAUUAAUUUAACUUGGGAGUCAGAACAUGGGUGAUAAGGUCCGUGUUCGAAAGGGAAACAGCCCAGACCACCAGCUAAGGUCCCAAAAUAUAUGUUAAGUGGAAAAGGAUGUGGCGUUGCCCAGACAACUAGGAUGUUGGCUUAGAAGCAGCCAUCAUUUAAAGAGUGCGUAAUAGCUCACUAGUCGAGUGACACUGCGCCGAAAAUGUACCGGGGCUAAACAUAUUACCGAAGCUGUGGAUUGUCCUUUGGACAAUGGUAGGAGAGCGUUCUAAGGGCGUUGAAGCAUGAUCGUAAGGACAUGUGGAGCGCUUAGAAGUGAGAAUGCCGGUGUGAGUAGCGAAAGACGGGUGAGAAUCCCGUCCACCGAUUGACUAAGGUUUCCAGAGGAAGGCUCGUCCGCUCUGGGUUAGUCGGGUCCUAAGCUGAGGCCGACAGGCGUAGGCGAUGGAUAACAGGUUGAUAUUCCUGUACCACCUAUAAUCGUUUUAAUCGAUGGGGGGACGCAGUAGGAUAGGCGAAGCGUGCGAUUGGAUUGCACGUCUAAGCAGUAAGGCUGAGUAUUAGGCAAAUCCGGUACUCGUUAAGGCUGAGCUGUGAUGGGGAGAAGACAUUGUGUCUUCGAGUCGUUGAUUUCACACUGCCGAGAAAAGCCUCUAGAUAGAAAAUAGGUGCCCGUACCGCAAACCGACACAGGUAGUCAAGAUGAGAAUUCUAAGGUGAGCGAGCGAACUCUCGUUAAGGAACUCGGCAAAAUGACCCCGUAACUUCGGGAGAAGGGGUGCUCUUUAGGGUUAACGCCCAGAAGAGCCGCAGUGAAUAGGCCCAAGCGACUGUUUAUCAAAAACACAGGUCUCUGCUAAACCGUAAGGUGAUGUAUAGGGGCUGACGCCUGCCCGGUGCUGGAAGGUUAAGAGGAGUGGUUAGCUUCUGCGAAGCUACGAAUCGAAGCCCCAGUAAACGGCGGCCGUAACUAUAACGGUCCUAAGGUAGCGAAAUUCCUUGUCGGGUAAGUUCCGACCCGCACGAAAGGCGUAACGAUUUGGGCACUGUCUCAACGAGAGACUCGGUGAAAUCAUAGUACCUGUGAAGAUGCAGGUUACCCGCGACAGGACGGAAAGACCCCGUGGAGCUUUACUGUAGCCUGAUAUUGAAAUUCGGCACAG
Molecule: ribosomal RNA, 1192 nt
Filed under: Staphylococcus aureus
Lineage: Bacteria; Bacillati; Bacillota; Bacilli; Caryophanales; Staphylococcaceae
Description: partial 23S ribosomal RNA
Rfam family: Bacterial large subunit ribosomal RNA
Source: RNAcentral